AAAUUGAAGAGUUUGAUCAUGGCUCAGAUUGAACGCUGGCGGCAGGCCUAACACAUGCAAGUCGAACGGUAACAGGAAGCAGCUUGCUGCUUUGCUGACGAGUGGCGGACGGGUGAGUAAUGUCUGGGAAACUGCCUGAUGGAGGGGGAUAACUACUGGAAACGGUGGCUAAUACCGCAUAACGUCGCAAGACCAAAGAGGGGGACCUUCGGGCCUCUUGCCAUCAGAUGUGCCCAGAUGGGAUUAGCUUGUUGGUGAGGUAACGGCUCACCAAGGCGACGAUCCCUAGCUGGUCUGAGAGGAUGACCAGCCACACUGGAACUGAGACACGGUCCAGACUCCUACGGGAGGCAGCAGUGGGGAAUAUUGCACAAUGGGCGCAAGCCUGAUGCAGCCAUGCCGCGUGUAUGAAGAAGGCCUUCGGGUUGUAAAGUACUUUCAGCGGGGAGGAAGGUGUUGUGGUUAAUAACCGCAGCAAUUGACGUUACCCGCAGAAGAAGCACCGGCUAACUCCGUGCCAGCAGCCGCGGUAAUACGGAGGGUGCAAGCGUUAAUCGGAAUUACUGGGCGUAAAGCGCACGCAGGCGGUCUGUCAAGUCGGAUGUGAAAUCCCCGGGCUCAACCUGGGAACUGCAUUCGAAACUGGCAGGCUUGAGUCUUGUAGAGGGGGGUAGAAUUCCAGGUGUAGCGGUGAAAUGCGUAGAGAUCUGGAGGAAUACCGGUGGCGAAGGCGGCCCCCUGGACAAAGACUGACGCUCAGGUGCGAAAGCGUGGGGAGCAAACAGGAUUAGAUACCCUGGUAGUCCACGCCGUAAACGAUGUCUACUUGGAGGUUGUGCCCUUGAGGCGUGGCUUCCGGAGCUAACGCGUUAAGUAGACCGCCUGGGGAGUACGGCCGCAAGGUUAAAACUCAAAUGAAUUGACGGGGGCCCGCACAAGCGGUGGAGCAUGUGGUUUAAUUCGAUGCAACGCGAAGAACCUUACCUGGUCUUGACAUCCACAGAAGAAUCCAGAGAUGGAUUUGUGCCUUCGGGAACUGUGAGACAGGUGCUGCAUGGCUGUCGUCAGCUCGUGUUGUGAAAUGUUGGGUUAAGUCCCGCAACG
This 1104-nucleotide ribosomal RNA is filed under the name Salmonella enterica. RNAcentral's name for it is "bacterial SSU rRNA". It matches the Rfam family "Bacterial small subunit ribosomal RNA", at positions 1 to 1094 of the family's 1533-position model. Lineage: Bacteria; Pseudomonadati; Pseudomonadota; Gammaproteobacteria; Enterobacterales; Enterobacteriaceae. The record is from RNAcentral.